GACGAACGCUGGCGGCGCGCCUAACACAUGCAAGUCGAACGGGGCUUAACGGAAUGAAGUUUUCGGACGGAAUGAAGAUAAGCUUAGUGGCGAACGGGUGAGUAACACGUGAGCAAUCUGCCUUCGAGAGGGGGACAACAGUUGGAAACGACUGCUAAUACCGCAUAAGACCACAGCCUCGCAUGGGGCAGGGGUCAAAGGAGAGAUCCGCUUGAAGAUGAGCUCGCGACCGAUUAGAUAGUUGGUGAGGUAACGGCCCACCAAGUCGACGAUCGGUAGCCGGACUGAGAGGUUGAACGGCCACAUUGGGACUGAGACACGGCCCAGACUCCUACGGGAGGCAGCAGUGGGGAAUAUUGCACAAUGGGGGAAACCCUGAUGCAGCGACGCCGCGUGGAGGAAGAAGGUCUUCGGAUUGUAAACUCCUGUUGUUAGGGACGAUAAUGACGGUACCUAACAAGGAAGCACCGGCUAACUACGUG
This 482-nucleotide ribosomal RNA is filed under the name uncultured bacterium. RNAcentral's name for it is "bacterial SSU rRNA". It matches the Rfam family "Bacterial small subunit ribosomal RNA", at positions 28 to 507 of the family's 1533-position model. The record is from RNAcentral.